Molecule: long non-coding RNA, 1166 nt
Organism: Clupea harengus (Atlantic herring)
Lineage: Eukaryota; Metazoa; Chordata; Actinopteri; Clupeiformes; Clupeidae
Exons: 2
Source: RefSeq, a predicted model, not a curated record
CCUUAUCCCACAGAUGGAUGUUAUCUACGAGUGGAUCUUGUGUGGGAUUCCUCGGGGGCAGUAUCAGCAGUUGUUUCAGCUGGGGGCAACAGAACCGUCCACCUGCAGUGCCACCGACUGCCUGCUGGAGGCGCUGCUGUCCUAUGAUAGCCAAACGAGACCACAGCAACACGACUACAACAACCAAUGACACCACAGCACUACGGCUACAACAACCAAUCAGACCACAGCACCAUGUCUAUAACAACCAAUCAGACCACAGCACCAUGGCUAUAACAACCAAUGACACCACAGCAACACGGCUACAACAACCAAUCAGACCACAGCACCAUGGCUAUACCAAACAAUGACACCACAGCAACACGGCUACAACAACCAAUCAGACCACAGCACCAUGGCUAUAACAACCAAUCAGACCACAGCACCAUGGCUAUAACAACCAAUCAGACCACACUACCAUGGCUAUAGUAGGUUUUUAGGGGUGUCUGAUGUGCUUGAGGGGCAGGAGAAGAGGGGGGCUGGUAGGGCUUCAGGGGUAUCUGACGUUCUUGAGGGGGGCAUCCAUUCUGUUCAUGAAAGUGGCACUGAAAGCCAUGGGUUAAUAAGGAAGAGUGGAUUAAAGAUUCCAAAGCAGUUAAAUGGGGCAGUUUGAGGAAGCAGCCUAAUUAAGAGUGGCUUUGCAAGUGGAGAAUUCUGCAGGGAGUUCCGAUUCUAGAGUUCCAUAGUUCCAGCUCAGGGAAUCUGGAACAGUGGAGUCUUUAGAUCUCUCCUGUGACCCAAGAAUGGCAUAGAUAUUCUAGUUCUAGUUCUCAAAGCGCUACAUUUGUAGUCAUCAGUUCAACCCCGCUGUUCUCACUCGAUUGUUGUCCACUGUAUAUAUAUAUUUGUUGAUGGGGUUAAUGUUGACCUCACGUUCAGUAUAUGUUUACAUACUAUACAUUACAUACAUCAGACACAAUCUUCUGCUUAGUUCACUAUUCUGUAGUUUAAAGUGUUUCUGUUUCUGUAAUCUCCAGUAACAAUAUUUUUUUUAAAUCUGUUAAUUUCUCUGGAGAAGCCGUCCGUUUAAAAAAAAAAAAAUAGUGUUCCAGAAUGGAACUGUUUAGUUGAUUGACAGGUUGUUUGAAGUUGUAUGUUCAUAUUAAAAAGUGUUAUUAUUAAGGCUA